Nomascus leucogenys (northern white-cheeked gibbon) is the source of this 104-nucleotide small nuclear RNA. Lineage: Eukaryota; Metazoa; Chordata; Mammalia; Primates; Hylobatidae. The record is from Ensembl.
GUGCUUGCUUUGGCAGUACAUAUACUAAAACUAGAACAAUAUAGAGAUUAGUAUGGCCCCUGUGCAAUGAUGACAUGCAAAUUCAUGAUGCAUUUCAUCUUUUU